This 411-nucleotide long non-coding RNA is filed under the name Oryza sativa (Asian cultivated rice). Its description in RNAcentral is "long non-coding RNA (OSAT_LNC000284)". Lineage: Eukaryota; Viridiplantae; Streptophyta; Magnoliopsida; Poales; Poaceae. The record is from RNAcentral.
CAAAGACUGCCCCAUGUUGCCCAAGAAUGACACGCUCUUCGGAGUAACCUUCGAGCAACCAGACAGUGACAGGACACGAAGCUUGAGGUGCUUUGCUGAUGCCAGGGUAGCAACACCAUUGUCACUGACCAUGCACUUGGACAGAUCGAGCUCAGCAAGCUCAGUGCAAUUCUCGGAGAUGGCAAAGAGGCUAGCAUCGGUUAUCUUGCUGCAGCCCUCAAGACUAACUUGCUUCAGAGAUUUUCCAUGCCCCUUCACCAGGGUAGAAACAGCUGCAUCUGUGAUGUUCUUGCAACCACUCAAAUCGACCUUGACUAGACCACCCUCGGAAGAGUUGAUCAGUGGAAGAAGCCCACGGUCAGUGACCUCACGGAGACCACUCAAAUCAACCUGCUCCAAGUAAGGGCAAAC